RNAcentral lists this ribosomal RNA (460 nucleotides) under uncultured bacterium. RNAcentral describes it as "partial 16S ribosomal RNA". It matches the Rfam family "Bacterial small subunit ribosomal RNA", at positions 338 to 795 of the family's 1533-position model. The record is from RNAcentral.
CCUACGGGGUGCAGCAGUGAGGAAUAUUGGUCAAUGGACGAGAGUCUGAACCAGCCAAGUAGCGUGAAGGAUGACUGCCCUAUGGGUUGUAAACUUCUUUUAUAUGGGAAUAAAAUGUUCCACGUGUGGGAUUUUGUAUGUACCAUAUGAAUAAGGAUCGGCUAACUCCGUGCCAGCAGCCGCGGUAAUACGGAGGAUCCGAGCGUUAUCCGGAUUUAUUGGGUUUAAAGGGAGCGUAGGUGGAUUGUUAAGUCAGUUGUGAAAGUUUGCGGCUCAACCGUAAAAUUGCAGUUGAAACUGGCAGUCUUGAGUACAGUAGAGGUGGGCGGAAUUCGUGGUGUAGCGGUGAAAUGCUUAGAUAUAACGAAGAACUCCGAUUGCGAAGGCAGUUCACUGGACUGCAACUGACACUGAGGCUCGAAAGUGUGGGUAUCAAACAGGAUUAGAUACCCUUGUAGUC